CAGUCGCCACGGGAAUACGGAGGGUGCAAGCGUUAAUCGGAAUUACUGGGCGUAAAGCGCACGCAGGCGGUUUGUUAAGUCAGAUGUGAAAUCCCCGAGCUUAACUUGGGAACUGCAUUUGAAACUGGCAAGCUAGAGUCUCGUAGAGGGGGGUAGGAUUCCAGGUGUAGCGGUGAAAUGCGUAGAGAUCUGGAGGAAUACCGGUGGCGAAGGCGGCCCCCUGGACAAAGACUGACGCUCAGGUGCGAAAGCGUGGGGAGCAAACAGGAUUAGAUACCCGCGUAGUCCCUGUCUCUUAUAC
Molecule: ribosomal RNA, 301 nt
Filed under: uncultured bacterium
Lineage: Bacteria
Description: partial 16S ribosomal RNA
Rfam family: Bacterial small subunit ribosomal RNA
Source: RNAcentral